GUGCAUGGAAUCUGGAAUAAGAUGUGGGUAAUAUCGUUAUCAUCUUCUGAUAUCACCAUCUGCAGCCCUCCAGAUACUGAGCUGAUGUAAUGGCUUGGGAGGGACCCAACGAAGGAGUGCUGACUCAGGAAUCCUGCUGGGACUUUGUGGCCUACUGCUAGGCAACCACCCAUCUCCACCACAGCAAGCAAACAUAUGACCACAAAAUGGAUGAUCUCAUCUCUGAAUCGGCUAUUUGAUAUGCAGAUUGCACGGCAGCAGCCGUCCUUCCAUAAUAAUACAGAAUUGCUCUGGCAGCAGGUGCAGCAUAAAAGUGCAUGGGUCUUUUCUCACAUUUUAAAGCCAAAAUUGGUCCCAAACACUCUCUUUCCUCUUCACAGUUCCUGAAGCUCUAUUAUCUUCAUGUUUUAUUUCAGCCUUCUGUGCCAAAAAAGCAGGGCUCAUCCCUUAUGUUCCUUUCUAUACCCCUACCCCUGGGCUGCAAUGAAAUAAAGGGGGGGGAAGCAG
Rhineura floridana is the source of this 507-nucleotide long non-coding RNA. RefSeq lists it as uncharacterized. The transcript has 2 exons. NCBI's taxonomy places the organism in Eukaryota, Metazoa, Chordata, Lepidosauria, Squamata, Rhineuridae. The record is from RefSeq and is a predicted model, not a curated record.